Long non-coding RNA from Anolis carolinensis (green anole), 1296 nucleotides. RefSeq lists it as uncharacterized. The transcript is spliced from 3 exons. The record is from RefSeq and is a predicted model, not a curated record. NCBI's taxonomy places the organism in Eukaryota, Metazoa, Chordata, Lepidosauria, Squamata, Anolidae.
UUAAAAUAAGAGAAACUUACCAGGCAGCCAUGAGGCCUCUCCAUCAUGUAGAAAUGAAGCACAUGAGGGGAGGGGGCAUUGUGGAGCACUUGGGCCCCACUGUCUUUUGGUUCAUCAUUUCAACAUGCCAGGAGGCCUGCCAGAGAGGCCUCUUGGCUGCCUGAUUCUGUCACAUUGAGAGUCUCUCCAAUCAAACUUCCUGAUGACCUUUUGUCUGAACAGCUUGACAACAAAAUCCAUACCCAAAAGCAAUUUACCUCUGUUUGAACCAUGUGAACCCUGUGAAGCCUCAGAUCGUGCACUGCUCCAUAAAUAUCCACAGAGUCCUUCAAGUCCAAUUGCUGGAGAAUUCGAUCCAGUGCAAUGAAUGUCCCUGUUCUACCAACUCCAGCACUGAAAGAUGAAACACAAACUGUUUUAUUUAAUCUUUUCCCCAUUGCUAUUGUUAUAUGCAGGUAGCUCAAAUUGAGUUACAUUUUGUAUUCAUUCUUCUUUUGCAUUUCAUUUCUGAAUAGAAUCCAUAUUAUUCAGACGUGGGGGAGGACCAAGGAUAUCUCCCAACCCACUUCUUUGAUAAUUUCUCAAAUAACUGCUGUCUGUGUUUUAGGAUGGAAAAACCUUAUUGAUUAUCUAAAGCAGUGGUUCUCAACCUGGGGUCCCCAGAUGUUUAUGGCCUACAACUUCCAGAAAUCCCAGCCAGUUUACCAGCUGUUAGGUUUUCUGGGAAUUGAAGGCCAAAAACACUGGGGGACCCCAAGUUGAGAACCACUGAUCUAAAGUCACAUUGGCUGAAUGGUGCAUGAAAACACCAUUCAGUUAUCCUCAUUCUUCAAUGAAAGUGGUGUCUUACCUGCAGUGUACUAUAGUUGGUCCAGCUUGAGGUGUUCGGUUGAUAUAAUCUCGUACAGUCCUUACAAACUGGAUAAGGGACUGGGUGGUUUCUGGCACACCAUGGUCUGGCCAUACAGUAUAAUGGAACUGUCGAAUAAGUCUGGAAGAAUCAAGUUGCUCCUCCUACGAGGUACAUAGUAGGGAAAAGUUAGACAUAGGAAGGAGAUAGUGACACAUCACUUUCCUUCCCAAGUAUUGAUGUCUAGCCUAUUAACAGUUCUUGACUGCUUUGUCUUCUUUGUUAUCGUUAUGUGCAAACAAUUUUUAGAACAGCAAACAUAAAAAUGUUGUCAACGAUCUGGAAAGUAGUGCUCAGACAUAUUGCACUGUGUACAGGGUAUAUAAAAGUAACACACUGGAAGAUUUUAUGAGUUGUAUUCCAAUAAAAGAUUUUUCUUCCACGUC